AAUCGUCCGGGUUUGGCUGGGGUAGGCCGUCAUUGUAAAUAAGAAUUGGUUCUUAGCUGACUUGCCUAGUUUAAAAAAAAUUAAAAGACAGGAUUUUCAAGCAAUAACAGGUUAGUUUAAUGUCUUAAUGUAAAAAGUGUAUGAAUUUGUAAAUUAUUGAAGAUAUUUAUGUUGCUGUACUUCUUUACCUGAAGAGACUAUGUGGCUAAACACCUGUGUUGCCAGCUUCACUCACAUGUUUGUGAAGGGUGGCAGAUUGUGUUUGUUCGUCAGCUUUGGUGACUUCCUGAUUGUGUGCCAUCUUGUAAAACAACACCAGAUGGUCUCAAAUUAUUUCAUCUCUGAUCUGGUGAGUUAAAAUGAAUGACAGUCAAUUUUUAUUGUUAAAGAAUUAUAUUUUAUAUUUUCCAUUUAAUAAUCUUUGAAUCUACCUUUAUUCCAUGACGCUUGAAGUUGUUCCGCACUGAUUUUACCAAGUUUUGAACAUCAAAGAUGAUGGGGAUUUUGUAGUCUUCAACUGUGAUGCAGUGUGCACCGUCAGUGUGUUCCUCAGCAUUUAGACUUGCCCCAAGGAGUUUCAUAGACUUCAUAUUACAGCGUGACUGGUCACACACAACAUUGUUGACCUGUCGCAUUUAAAGUAAUUACUGUAAAUUCCAAAUAUAUAGUAGUGAUGAAACUGGACUAUUGUGUAUAGACAUUGUUACUUAGUCAGUCCUAUGCUUUUUAGUCUCUUUAUUGCCUCAGCCACAAUAUCAGCAGUCUCUUGGGCUGGAGUUGCCGAUUUAGCCAGGAAAUAGCCAAAUGCCUGCGUGGGAGACGUAAACAAGGCAGGGACCUCCUUCAAUUGGAUGAUGGCCUCCUCCUGCAUGACAUCUGUGCUACAUGCUGCUUGCUUUGACACCUGAGCUUCCUGUAUGCUCAUAAGGACGCCUUCUUCUGUCACCUGAGCCGCCUCCUGUAUGCUUGUGAGGAUGCCUCCUGCCACCUCUGUCACCUAACAGACCACCUCCUGCAGACCACCUGAACUAAAUUCAGCAUCUGCUGCUUCCUCUACUGGAGCUGGGUCUACGCUCUCCUUCACUCUCUUGUUCUCUCUGUCUGUCUCACCUAAAACUCCCAUAUCUGCUUCCCUGUCUCUCCUUCAAAAAUAGACAAUUCAAGACUUUAAACCUGUUGUAUUAAUAUAAAACAAUAACGAUGCAUCUUUAAUCGCUACGUAUUUUGUAGUUUGCUUACUUCUAUUUCUACAACGCUGUGCAUCUGUUGCAGAUUGAGGGGGUGGAUUCAUGCAAUUUAUUCUGGUAGGUACUGCCUCGGAGGACAGUGUCUUCUGUGAACCCUGUUGAAAGAGACAUUUUUACCAGAAUUUUUUGCAAUUCAUUCCAGUCAUUGGCAGAGAACUGGAAGGAAAGGUGACCAAAGGGGGUGUUGGCUUAUCCAAGCCUUGGAAUGACUGAUGAUUGAACAUGAUCACAGCUUUGCAUUUUCAAAGUAAAAAUGUAAUGAAAUCAACAUGAAACAUCUACAAUGUAAAAAAUAAUAACCCUUGUUUUGCCAACCCCACAUCCUCCACUUCUCCAUCCCCUGAACGACUAAAAAAAGCAUGACAAAAACAGUACCAAUGCCCUUCGGCUACACAAACAAGUCCUCACAAUCUUGCAGGAGGAUCCCUCAAGGGUCUGUUCUUUUCCUCGAGGGGGCGGGUGUUUUGAUCGAACAAACCUCGAAAAACAGCGUUCUGUAUCUCAGGGAAGCUGGUGACUGAGGAAUGAAUGGUGUACUUCCAGGAGUUAGACGGCCUUAUGGUGGAAUCACAAGGGGGACAACUUGGCUUGCCAACAACUAGCUACAGCUGUUUAUAUAUAGAUACUUAUGAUGAAUAUAUAUAUAUAUUCUCUUUUUUAAAUUUGAUUUAUCUUUCUUUCUGGCAGUAGUAAAUAUUUGAGGAUAUGAACUCUAUGGCAAUACAUCAGGAAUCAUUCCUUUUCCUUUCUACAUUCGUGCCCUCUCAAGUUCGUUGACAUUCUCUCCCCAUGUACUAACUCCAUCUAGUGCAGGAGUGUCAAACUCAUUUUGCCCCGGGGGCCGCAUUCUGUCUUCAACGAGGUCCAGAGGGCCGCAUUGAAAAUAUGUUAUUUCCUCACCGUCAUUUUUUUUGUUGAAUUUCUGAUGCUCCCUGACUGUCUGGCUUUCAUUUUGGUGAUUUAUUAGCGAGCUAGACACAGUCAAGAAACUGUGAAUGUAGGUCCAUUAUCAUUUCAACACAGUGUAGAUUUUAUUUUUGUCAUUUUAAAGUAUAUUGAGGGUUUUUUCACCUACGGGCCAGAUGUUUGACACCCCUGGACUAGUGUAUGUUUAUCUGCUCAAGAUGACCAGAAGAGGGACCCAAGAAGUCUGCAUUUGCAAGAUAGACAAAGGUGGAGUCGAGGAAGAGGACUUGUCACCAUGUUUAUAAUUUUCCCUUGUGGCAUUUAUGAACAAAUGUAUGUGUUUUGAUUUGUUUUUCAGGUGAUUGGGUAACAUGCUAAGGCGCUUUAAUGAGAGGUUUUAUUGAGUGCUAAAUUUGGUUUAGGAAACAAAAUGUAAUACCAGGUUAGAUUAUGUCCAGUGGUGGUGUUAAAUAGGAGAGAAUAAUUGUCUUGUUUCUGCCUUUAAUUGAAAGGUUCAUUCCCCAUUCAGUGCCACAUCAUUUUAAACUAAAUAAGCAGAUGUUUGGAUAAGUACCUAAAAGAAUAUCUCUAUCUUUCACUUGAGCAUAUGAAUCAUAUGACUGUGGAUAUUCUUCAGCGAACCCAUUAUGUGAAAUAUUGUCAGCUAAAGACAGAUCUAUUCCUUUUCCCCUCAGAAGACGUUUUAUCAGUAAGCAAGGCCAGGUAAUACAGUACAUGAAUUUACAUUUUGGUUAUUGGAAAGGAAUUGUGACCAAAACCAUUUGUAGCGAUAGAGCACAUUCCUGCUGAAUACACGCACGCAAUGAUUGCCUGUGGUGAGAAACUCAACAAGUUCACUUAACCGUAAUGUAAAGGUGGAGUAUCAUCCUUUUAUCUCUAAAGUAGAUAAAUACUGUAUCUUCUUAUAUAAUAGAAUUUACAGAGGUUACAAACUCAAGCCAUUUUUCUUUUCAUGUUAUGACUUUGUAAAUUAAUAUUGAAUCAAGGCCUUGCCAUACAUUUCAGUAUCGCUUCAAAAGAACAAUCGGAACAAAAUGUAUUUUUUAUUUACUUUGAAUCAUAACCAUUGAUUGUAUUAGAUUUUCAUUUUUAUUGAUGCAUAAUAUUAAAUCUCCAUGAGUUUCC
Long non-coding RNA from Salvelinus namaycush (lake trout), 3299 nucleotides. RefSeq lists it as uncharacterized. The record is from RefSeq and is a predicted model, not a curated record. Lineage: Eukaryota; Metazoa; Chordata; Actinopteri; Salmoniformes; Salmonidae. The transcript is spliced from 2 exons.